UGGAAACCCUAGUUUUAGGGUUUCCAUUACAUGUCUUCACUUCAUCUUUCAUUCGUUUUUCUCCCCGGUUUACUUCCUCUCAACUCGUCUUCAAUCUCUGUACACUACUUGUCCUUUAAGCCGUUUAAUCCUUCCAAUCGAAAUCAUCCCCUCUCUUCAAUCCUUGUAACGACAUUGAUUUUUCUUUCAUUUCGGAAAGAAACUUUUUCCUUUUUUCGUCAACUCACCUUCAACAUAUUCCGAUUUAGGUUUGGCCGUCGUUUUCUUCUCGGUAAAAAAUAUAUCUUCCUCUAAAUUCCUCUCUCCCACUCUUCGUCCUCCCAAUUUUCGUUGAAGGCUUCGCUCACCGUGUUGCCUCCGAAACAAAUGGAUCUUCUGUCGGUUUCGUUGAUCGGCUGUGUUUUACAUUUUGCCUCCGAAACCUUUGCGCUUGCAUGUUCACUACUGUUAUUGGUGAACAUGCAAUCCGGCUCGAUUUUCCCCUUCCAGAAGACCUUGCCGCUUGGACUCCCACUUGCCGAUCGGGUAAUUCUUUUCCCUUUGAUUUGGACACAUUCUACUACGGAUACUAUCACCCACUGCAUUUGGGAUGUUCGAGCAAGGUAUGGUUGGAGGUAAGUGGUUGAAUUUCGAGUUUCUUUCUUUGUCGAUGAUGAGGAUUAGGGUUAUGCACUGUCUGAAUAAUUUUCUUUCUGAUUAGUUCUGUUCUGUGCAUAAUUAUUUGUAAUCGUUUUUGUUUUUUACUUCUAUUGUUUUUCAUAUUCGGUCAUCCCAAUCUGUUUACUUUCGAUGUUUCUGAUUACUAUUGUUCCUGUAGUUUUUUGAAGUCAGUUCUGUGUAUGUGUAUCUGUCAAAAUUUUUGUCUAUGUGCUUCAACAUAUGUCCAUGUUUGCCAUGUUUCUAAUCUCCUUCCGUAUUGCCCAUCAAUAUUGUUUAAGUUAUACUUAUGUGAACCCUAAUUUCUGUUAUAUUGUUUAAAUUUUUCCCAUCUCUGUUAACUCAUAUGUCCCUGUUUGCCAUGUUUCUAAUCUGUUUUGUUGGUUUCACUUUGUUGUUGCUACUGUGCGUAAUCUGAACACAUUUUGUACCAUUUUUUUUAAUAUUAUCCCUCAUCAAUACGCUGACAUAUUUAUUUCAUUUGGCACUUUGACUAACUAUGUUCACACUUCCCAUUUACUUGCAAUCAAUAUGACUUCUGAAUUUGCUUUGACGUCUUUUCUCUUUACUUGCAAGCAACUGUUCUGUUUCUUUCUCUUUAUUUCUAAGCAAAUCUCAUUCAUCUAUCCAUUAAACUGCACUGUCUGGGUUCAUUUUAUUUUUUGGUUAUUUAUUUGUCUACUCAUAGCUUAUCUUUAUCUUAGUUGUAGGUUUUGACCAUUUGCUUCCCUGUUCUGUACACUUCUGUAAUUUGCAGAGAUUCCUCUUUUUUUUUUGGUAUGAGUGAAUAAACACAUACUUUAUUCACCCUCUAACCCUCUAUAUAUACCACUUCCUUUGUUGUAUUUUAUUGUGUUGUUUUCCUUGCUUUCUCCCCCGUGCUUUCUUUAUUUGGUAUGUAACUUAACUUUGUUUUCUUCUUUUCUACUUCUAUUUCGCCUUCUUUUUUCUUUUGCCAUAUCUAUAUUAAGUAGAUUCUGUUAUGUUUAAAGCAUAUUUGUGUAGAUGUUUUAUGCUUAUUUGGUUGCAUUUGUAUAGCUAUAUAUGUUUUGCUGCACAUCCUAUUGUUGCUUCUUUUUGUAUUCUUGUUUGUAAUAAUUGAUCCAGUUCGUUACACCGAACGAAUUCAAUUCCUCUGAGGCACAACGUUUUUUUAAAUAACACGACCUAAAUUGCUCAUUCAUUUUAAUCAAUCUUCUUUUUUCAAUUUCACCUUGACAUUCCUCCAAACAAUAGGGUACGUAAUCGAUACACCUCAUCCUUAUACUAUUUGUACUUGUACUUUUCUUAUGUCGGUACACUAAUUUCAUUUCUUUAUUUGCAGGAUAUCUGACUUCUUACUUCGUUCGUUAGAGGCACUACCCUGAAAUGGAUAACCAAAACAUUCGCACUAUACUAGCCGUCUUCACAUCCACCCAUAAUCAGUUAAUACUGCUAUUGGAUGCACUAAUGAAUGACAAUAAGCGGGUGACCCAUACACCGUACGAAUUUAAGCAUCAAAUUAGACAACUUUCAUACUUCCGUAUGAUACACUCCUCCGACCUCAUUUGUCGUGAAAGUACCAGAAUGGACAGACGAACUUUUUCCAUUCUAUGUCAUUUACUGAGGAUGAUUUUUGGUCUGACGUCGACCGAAAUCGUCGAUGUCGAGGAGAUGGUCGCCAUGUUUCUGCAUAUUUUGGCACACGAUGUCAAGAAUAGAGUCAUCCAGCAGAAUUUCGUGCGAUCAGGAGAGACUGUUUCCCGUCACUUUAACCUCGUAUUGUUGGCGGUGUUGCGAUUGCACGAUGAGUUGUUGAAGAAACCCCAGCCAGUGACUACCACAUGCGCUGAUUCAUGAUGGAGUUGCUUCGAGAACUGCCUUGGGGCAUUGGAUGACACGUACAUCAAGGUGAACGUGCCGCAAACCGAUAGGCCUAGGUAUAGAACACGUAAGGGAACAUCCUCGGUGUGUGUGAUACGAAAGGCGACUUCGUCUUCGUAUUGGCUGGUUGAGAAGGAUCCACAGCAAAUUCGCGCAUUCUUCGAGAUGCUAUUGCACGACCAAAUGGGCUGCAUGUUCCUCAGGGUUAUUUCUAUCUAUGCGACGCCGGAUAUCCCAAUGCAGAGGGAUUUCUAGCUCCCUAUAGAGGACAAAGAUACCACUUGCAAGAGUGGCGAGGAGCGGGAAAUGCCCCUGUCACCGCAAAAGAGUACUUCAACAUAAAACAUCCUGCCGCUAGGAAUGUUAUUGAACGAGCGUUCGGGUUGUUGAAGGGUCGAUGGGCAAUCCUUCGCGGCAAAUCGUACUAUCCCGUGCAAAUUCAAUGUCGAACAAUUCUAGCGUGUUGCCUACUACACAAUCUCAUCAACCGCGAGAUGACGAAUGUCGAUUUUGUUGACGAAGGAGACUCCACGUACGCCACGAUUGGAGGUGAUGACAUUCAGUUCGUGGAGAACUCAAACGAAUGGACGCAGUGGAGGGAUGAUUUGGCCGCAGAGAUGUUCAAUGAAUGGCAGUUGCGUAACGAAUAGGCUUUCAUGUCGAUUUCGUAUUCCUAUACUUGUAUUUAGUUAGUAUUGGGUGUGUCUUCGUGUACGCUUAAAUGUAUGCAUGCAGUAUGAAAAACGAAUUUGACAAUUUUGCCUUCUUGUGUAUUUUAAUAAUUAUUCCUUCAUGUUUAUUGAAGAUACUUAAACAAAUGCAUGGUUGUAUGA
Molecule: RNA transcript, 3353 nt
Organism: Cucumis sativus (cucumber)
Lineage: Eukaryota; Viridiplantae; Streptophyta; Magnoliopsida; Cucurbitales; Cucurbitaceae
Exons: 4
Source: RefSeq, a predicted model, not a curated record